This 539-nucleotide ribosomal RNA is filed under the name Tenodera superstitiosa bokiana. RNAcentral describes it as "partial 16S ribosomal RNA". It matches the Rfam family "Bacterial large subunit ribosomal RNA", at positions 1805 to 2612 of the family's 2925-position model. The record is from RNAcentral. Lineage: Eukaryota; Metazoa; Arthropoda; Insecta; Mantodea; Mantidae.
UAUCAAAAACAUGGUUUCUUGUAAUUAUUUAAGAGAUCUGACCUGCCCACUGAAGAUAUUUUGAAGGGCCGCAGUAUUUUGACUGUGCAAAGGUAGCAUAAUCAUUAGUCUUUUAAUUGAAGGCUGGUAUGAAUGGUUGGAUGAGGUAAAUUCUGUUUUAUGUUAAUUGGUGUUGAAUUUAGAUUUUAAGUAAAAAUACUUAAAUGUUAUUAAGGGACGAGAAGACCCUAUAGAGUUUAAUAAAUGUAGUAAAUAAUUGAGUUAAAUCUUAAUUUUUGGUUUUUAUGUAAUUUAUUUAAUUGGGGUGAUUGGAAAGAUAAAAUAAACUCUUCUUUGUAUUUAAUAAAUUAAUUAGUUUUAUGAUCCAUAUUUAAUGAUUAAAAGAUUAAAUUACCUUAGGGAUAACAGCAUAAUUCUUUUUAAGAGUUCAUAUCGAAAAAAGAGAUUGUGACCUCGAUGUUGGAUUAAGAUUAGUUAUGGGUGCAGAUGUUCAAUAACUAGGUCUGUUCGACCUUGAAAAUCUUACAUGAUCUGAGUUC